GUAAAGUAAGCUUUGCUUAAUUAGGGAGGAUAAUUAUUAAUAUGACUUGUCUUAUUAUAAUUCGCACUCCCGGGGCGUCUAUUACUCAUUGCGAGUAAAGGCGCACCUAGAGCGUACACGUUGGGACCCGAAAGAUGGUGAACUAUGCCUGGCCAGGAUGAAGCCAGGGGAAACCCUGGUGGAGGUCCGUAGCGAUUCUGACGUGCAAAUCGAUCGUCAGAGCUAGGUAUAGGGGCGAUAGACUUAUCGAACUAUCUAGUAGCUGGUUCCUUCCGAAGUUUCCCUCAGGAUAGCUGGUGUCAAUGAUGAUUAGAGUCUCAUCUGGUAAAGCGAAUGAUUAGAGGCCUUGGGGCCGAAACGACCUCAACCUAUUCUCAAACUUUAAAUGGAUGAGAGCCUUGGCUUGCUUAAAAGUGAAGCCAAGGAUUCGGAUCUAGAUGCCAAGUGGGCCAAUUUUGGUAAGCAGAACUGGUGCUGUGGGAUGAACCAAACGCAAAGUUAAGGCGCCUGAAUCAACGCUCAUGAGACACCAUGAAAGGCGUUGGUUGCUUAAGACAGCAGGGCGGUGGCCAUGGAAGUCGGAAUCCGCUAAGGAGUGUGUAACAACUCACCUGCCGAAGCAACUAGCCCUGAAAAUGGAUGGCGCUGUAGCGUUGUGCCUAUACUUUGCCAUUGUGCUAUUAAGCCUUAACGAGUAGGAAGGUCGCAGCGAUGUGCGUAGAAGGGUCUGGGUGUAAACCUGCCUGGAGCCGUCGCUGGUGCAGAUCUUGGUGGUAGUAGCAAAUACUCCAGCGAGGACCUGGAGGACUGUUGUGGAGAAGGGUUUCUUGUGAACAGCUGUUGCACAAGAGUCAGUCGAUCCUAAGCUCUAGGAGAAAUCCAAUGUUGAUAGAUGCCCUAAUUUGAAAGGCAUCUGUAGAGCGAAAGGGAAUCUGGUUCCUAUUCCAGAACCUGGUAGCGGAACCGUUUCAAAUUCGAGCCCUUAAUGAGCUUGUCGGGGUAACCCAAAAAGACCCGGAGACGCCGUUGGAAGGUUUGGGGAGAGUUGUCUCUUCUCUAUAAGCGUUCGAGUUCCCUGGAAUCCUCUAGCAGGGAGAUAGGGUUUGGAACGCGAAGAGCAUCGCAGUUACGGCGGUGUCCAAAUCUUUCCUUCGGACCUUGAAAAUCCGGGCGAGGGCUACGAGGAACACCGCACCAGAUCGUACCCAUAUCCGCAGCAGGUCUCCAAGGUGAAUAGCCUCUAGUCGAUAGAAUAAUGUAGGUAAGGGAAGUCGGCAAGCUUGAUCCGUAACUUCGGGAUAAGGAUUGGCUCUGAGGAUYGUGGCGUGCUGGGCUUGGUUGGGAAGUGGAGCGGUGUCAAUUAGCCGGGCCUGGGCAAAGUAAACAGUUUUUACUGUUAAUCUAAGCUCGGUCCCGUGCCUUGGCCACCCAUGGAUCUUCCUUGCAAUAGGCUUCACAAUUGUCAGUUACUAAGUUUUAUCUUGGUAAAACGGAUUGUGGGUCUUUUCGGCCGCCUUUUAACGAUCAACUCAGAACUGACACGGACAAUGGGAUUCCGACUGUCUAAUUAAAACAAAGUAUUGCGAUGGCCCCAAACGGGUGUUGACGCAAUAUGAUUUCUGCCCAGUGCUCUGAAUGUCAAUGUGAAGAAAUUCAAGUAAGCGCGGGUAAACGGCGGGAGUAACUAUGACUCUCUUAAAGUAGCCAAAUGCCUCGUCAUCUAAUUAGUGACGCGCAUGAAUGGAUUAACGAGAUUCCCAUCUGUCCCUAUCUACUAUCUAGCGAAACCACGUGUCCUAAGGCCAGCUCAGCGAGGACAGAAACCUCGCGUAGAGCAAAAGGGCAAAUGCUGGCUUGAUCUCGAUGUUCAGUAUGCAUAGAGACUGCGAAAGCAUGGCCUAUCGAUCCUUUUAGUCUGAAGAACUUUCAGCAAGAGGUGUCAGAAAAGUUACCUCAGGGAUAACUGGCUUGUGGCAGCCAAGCGUUCAAAGCGACGUUGCUCUUUGAUCCUUCGAUGUCGGCUCUCCCUAUCAUAGUGAAGCAGAAUUCACUAAGUGUCGGAUUGUUCACCCGCUAACAGGGAACGUGAGCUGGGUUUAGACCGUCGCGAGACAGGUUAGUUUUACCCUACUAAUAAAUAGUUUUUGCGUUAGUAAUCCUGCUCAGUACGAGAGGAACCGCAGGUUCGGACAUUUGGUUCAUGCACUCGGUCGACAGGCCGAUGGUGCGAUGCUACCAUCCGUAGGAUUAUGCCUGAACGCCUCUAAGGCCGAAUCCUUUCUAAAUAAGCAAAUAUAACAUUUAUGGGCUUUGUGAGUUAAAAGGCUUAAGCAAUGUGAUUGUUUAGGUGGUUAACAAUUUUGUUUAAUCAUCACAUAU
RNAcentral lists this ribosomal RNA (2379 nucleotides) under Schizopterinae sp. UCR ENT 00026700. RNAcentral's name for it is "partial large subunit ribosomal RNA". It matches the Rfam family "Eukaryotic large subunit ribosomal RNA", at positions 720 to 3244 of the family's 3401-position model. Lineage: Eukaryota; Metazoa; Arthropoda; Insecta; Hemiptera; Schizopteridae. The record is from RNAcentral.